GACGAACGCUGGCGGCGUGCUUAACACAUGCAAGUCGAACGGAAAGGCCCUGCUUGUGGGUGAUGCUCGAGUGGCGAACGGGUGAUUAACACGUGAGUGACCUGCCCUGGACGUUGGGAUAACUUCAGGAAACUUGGUCUAAUACCGGAUAGGAGCUCCUGCUGCAGGGUGGUGGUGGGAAAGUUUGGGCGGUUGGGGAUGGAUUCGCGGCUUAUCAGCUUGUUGGUGGGGUAGUGGCUGACCAAGGCUUUGACGGGUAGCCGGCCUGAGAGGGUGACCGGCCACAUUGGGCCUGAGAUACGGACCAGACUCCUACGGGAGGCAGCAGUGGGGAAUAUUGCACAAUGGGCGGAAGCCUGAUGCAGCAACGCCGCGUGCGGGAUGACGGCCUUCGGGUUGUAAACCGCUUUCGCCUGUGACGAAGCGUGAGUGACGGUAAUGGGUAAAGAAGCACCGGCUAACUACGUG
Molecule: ribosomal RNA, 468 nt
Filed under: uncultured bacterium
Lineage: Bacteria
Description: partial 16S ribosomal RNA
Rfam family: Bacterial small subunit ribosomal RNA
Source: RNAcentral